AUGGGAAUUAAUAUUUUAACCAUUUUUUACCAGGCAGAACCAUAUUUUGCUCCUAUAAAAGUCUAUAUUACCCCAGAAACUCUUAAAGAAGAAAGUAGAACAAAAACAACCCAAAGGACCAUGAAAUAAGCCGAUGUUGCCCAAGCCCACAGCCUAGGGCCCCCAAGCUCAGCACCAAAUACUAUGCGGCGGAGAACCAAAACUGUGAUACAACCAAAAGAUGUUGCGAAGAAGACCAGAAGUGAGAAGCUGAGACCAGCAGCAUUGUCUAUGUACAGUGGUUCCUGGUAG
RNAcentral lists this ribosomal RNA (291 nucleotides) under Triticum aestivum (bread wheat). RNAcentral describes it as "partial small subunit ribosomal RNA". The record is from RNAcentral. Lineage: Eukaryota; Viridiplantae; Streptophyta; Magnoliopsida; Poales; Poaceae.